This is a long non-coding RNA of Solanum tuberosum (potato), 434 nucleotides long. RefSeq lists it as uncharacterized. The transcript is spliced from 2 exons. NCBI's taxonomy places the organism in Eukaryota, Viridiplantae, Streptophyta, Magnoliopsida, Solanales, Solanaceae. The record is from RefSeq and is a predicted model, not a curated record.
GGUUAUUCUUUAUGAAGUUGUCGAAUGAAACUCUUGAAAUUGUAAAGAAACUACUAUCAAACGUUCUUAAUUUGUUGGGUGUUUUCUUUAUUUACAGGAAAUUAAUAAAUCUGCUCUUUGCCAUUGUUGAAAUUUCCCAACACAGAGAAAAAGCAAAUACAGUUUAGGAAAAUGACAACAUCCAGCUGAUAUGAAUUUGAACGAAGUCUCACCUAAACUUCAUAUGGGACACUGAAGGAUGCUCCAUAUGUAAUGGAGGCAUGCAAAAGUGUAUUCCUCACACUUUCAUCGAUAUUUGUUGGGAUUUAUCUUUGCUUUCUCCGCUACUUGCCCUGCUUCUUCCACUUCAUUCAUUGAUUUCAGAUAAUAUCUCCUUCAGAUUUCUUGUGAUUUGUCCUUAAUCUAUAAUUUCCUCCGGCUAGCCUUUCUGCUUU